AUGCCAGGGCCUGGCUGGGGACCUGGGGACCAUCCCCAUGGCCCCCGCUCAGGGCUCGGGGGGGGUCUUGGUGGGUCCGGCCAUCCUACAGGCGCUGUAGAGGGAGAGGCAGAGCCCGGCGGCCGCCAGCAGCAGGGCCAGGGGGGGCAGCGCCCGGUCCUUGGGCUCAGUGCCCUGUCCUGCCGCCAGCUGCAUCUGGGGGGGGGGAGAGGAAAGGGAAAAAAGGGGAAGAAGGGGAUAAAAAGGGGGCGACGCCACCCCCAGACCCCCCCCUCAGGGGACAGCCCCAGCCCCCAGCCUGCCCUGAGCGACCCCAAUGCACGCACAGCUGGGAUAUGGGGACAAAAGGGGGGGGCUUUUUCCAGCGGGGUGCCCCCACCACAGCACCCACGGCGAUUUUGGGGUGCCCCCAACCCCAGCCCUGCCCCAGUGCCCCCACCACCAGCAGGGAGCCGGGACACAGCUCCAGCAUCCAGCAGGCCUCGUGGGGAGGGUCGGGGGGUCCCUGCUCGUCGCGCCCCCCCCCAAUUUUUGCUCGCCCCUUACCUGGAGCAGGCGAAAAUACCCCGGGGUGAGGCGUCGGGGCCGGAUGAUCAUGGUGUGAGGGGGGGCAGUAGGAUCAGGCCCCGCGGCCCCUCCGAAACCGGCGGCGAGCGCGGCGCCGCUGUCAGCAGCGAUCAGCGCCCGCUGCUCCCCCAAGCGCACACAGCACAGCGGGGGGGGGCACGGAGGCGUUUCGGGGGGAACCGGGGCGGGUUUGGGACCGGGGAGAGCCGGGUGCUGAGGGGAGGCAGCCCCCGGCCUGCUAUAGGGGAAGGGGUGGCGGUGGGGUUGGGAUCGGGGGGCGAAAUCCUCGUGGUGGGGAGCGGGGUGGUGGUGGGGGGGGGUGCAUUGGUGUCAGGAGUUGUGCCAGGGCUCAGCCCUCGCUGUAUGGCCGGGGGGGGGCCUGGUUGUGUCCCCCUCGCCUCCUCCUCAUCUCCUCCUCAUCUCCUCAUCUCGUGGCCUUCAGAAAAUGGAGAUUGGGGCCCCCCCGAGCUGGGUUCGCCAUCGUUCCCCGCAGGGCGUUUCGACGGCCGCUCGGGGUUGUGA
RNAcentral lists this long non-coding RNA (1089 nucleotides) under Anas platyrhynchos platyrhynchos (common mallard). RNAcentral's name for it is "lncRNA (ENSAPLG00000028205.1)". The record is from RNAcentral. Lineage: Eukaryota; Metazoa; Chordata; Aves; Anseriformes; Anatidae.